RNAcentral lists this ribosomal RNA (540 nucleotides) under uncultured bacterium. RNAcentral's name for it is "bacterial SSU rRNA". It matches the Rfam family "Bacterial small subunit ribosomal RNA", at positions 777 to 1319 of the family's 1533-position model. The record is from RNAcentral.
AAUAGAUACCCCGGUAGUCCACGCCCUAAACGAUGUCAACUGGUUGUUGGGGAAGGAAACUUCCUUAGUAACGAAGCUAACGCGUGAAGUUGACCGCCUGGGGAGUACGGCCGCAAGGUUAAAACUCAAAGGAAUUGACGGGGACCCGCACAAGCGGUGGAUGAUGUGGAUUAAUUCGAUGCAACGCGAAGAACCUUACCUACCCUUGACAUGCCAGGGAGCCCGAUGAGAGUUGGGUGUGCCCGAAAGGGAACCUGGACACAGGUGCUGCAUGGCUGUCGUCAGCUCGUGUCGUGAGAUGUUGGGUUAAGUCCCGCAACGAGCGCAACCCUUGUCACUAGUUGCUACGGAUAGGGCACUCUAGUGAGACUGCCGGUGACAAACCGGAGGAAGGUGGGGAUGACGUCAAGUCCUCAUGGCCCUUAUGGGUAGGGCCUCACACGUCAUACAAUGGCGCAUACAGAGGGUUGCCAACCCGCGAGGGGGAGCCAAUCCCAGAAAGUGCGUCGUAGUCCGGAUUGUUCUCUGCAACUCGAGAGC